AACGAACGUUGGCGGCGUGGAUUAGGCAUGCAAGUCGAACGAAUCUUGCUCGUGUAGCAAUACAUGAGCAAGAGAAGUGGCGAAAGGGGCAGUAAUGUUUGGAUAACCUACCCUGAGGUCGCGGAUAGCCUUCCUAACGGAUGGGUAAUACGUGGCGUUGUACUGAAGAGGCAUCUCUUUGAUACCAAAGAAUUUCGCCUCAGGAGGGGUCCAAAUGAUAUUAGCUAGUUGGUGAGGUAACGGCUCACCAAGGCGAAGAUGUCUAGCGGGUGUGAGAGCACGACCCGCGUCACUGGCACUGAGACACUGGCCAGACUCCUACGGGAGGCUG
RNAcentral lists this ribosomal RNA (331 nucleotides) under uncultured Planctomycetota bacterium. RNAcentral's name for it is "bacterial SSU rRNA". It matches the Rfam family "Bacterial small subunit ribosomal RNA", at positions 29 to 351 of the family's 1533-position model. The record is from RNAcentral. Lineage: Bacteria; Pseudomonadati; Planctomycetota.